This 501-nucleotide ribosomal RNA is filed under the name uncultured fungus. RNAcentral describes it as "eukaryotic LSU rRNA". The stretch from base 196 to 349 matches the Rfam family "5.8S ribosomal RNA". The record is from RNAcentral. Lineage: Eukaryota; Fungi.
UUUAGAGGAAGUAAAAGUCGUAACAAGGUUUCCGUAGGUGAACCUGCGGAAGGAUCAUUACCGUGUUUGAUGGCUUCGGCCAUUUUCCACACCCCUUGUUUCCACCUCCGGUUUCUUUGGCGAGAACUUGAUCGCUCUCGUCAGAAUCACUCUGGGAAUGCGGUAUCGUCUGAGUCUUUGAUUAAAUCAGCUCAAAACUUUCAACAACGGAUCUCUUGGUUCCAGCAUCGAUGAAGAACGCAGCGAAAUGCGAUAAGUAAUGUGAAUUGCAGAAUUCCGUGAAUCAUCGAGUUUUUGAACGCACAUUGCACUCCUUGGCAUUCCGAGGAGUACGCCUGUUCGAGCGUCAUUUCACCAUCAAGCCCUCGGCUUGGAGUUGGGCCUGGCUGCGGCCAUGCCUUAAUGGAAUGGGCGAUUGACCAUAGUGAUGACUCACUCGCGUCAAUCCGCAUUUUGACUCUUGGUUGACCUCGGAUCAGGCGGGGAUACCCGCUGAACUUA